GGGGGUAUAGCUCAGCUGGGAGAGCGCUUGCAUGGCAUGCAAGAGGUCAGCGGUUCGAUCCCGCUUA
Molecule: transfer RNA, 67 nt
Filed under: Rhodocyclus tenuis
Lineage: Bacteria; Pseudomonadati; Pseudomonadota; Betaproteobacteria; Rhodocyclales; Rhodocyclaceae
Also listed under: 1 other name
Rfam family: tRNA
About the family: Transfer RNA (tRNA) molecules are approximately 80 nucleotides in length.
Source: Rfam by way of RNAcentral